This 178-nucleotide ribosomal RNA is filed under the name uncultured bacterium. Its description in RNAcentral is "partial 16S ribosomal RNA". It matches the Rfam family "Bacterial small subunit ribosomal RNA", at positions 354 to 525 of the family's 1533-position model. The record is from RNAcentral.
CUUGGGGAAUUUGCGCAUGGGCGAAGCCUGAUCCAGCCAUGCCGCGUGUGUGAUGAAGGUCUUCGGAUUGUAAAGCUCUUUUCUUUGGGACGAAGGGGGUCGGUCUCAUACGAUAUUGUCUUGACUGUUCCCAUCCAGGAAGCCCCGUUUAUAUCCGUGCCCCGCGCCGCGGAAAUCA